This 497-nucleotide ribosomal RNA is filed under the name uncultured bacterium. RNAcentral's name for it is "partial 16S ribosomal RNA". It matches the Rfam family "Bacterial small subunit ribosomal RNA", at positions 28 to 507 of the family's 1533-position model. The record is from RNAcentral.
GAUGAACGCUGGCGGCGUGCCUAAUACAUGCAAGUCGAGCGAACGGACGUGUAUCUUGCUUCUCUGAUGUUAGCGGCGGACGGGUGAGUAACCCUUGGAUAACCUCCCUAUAAGACUGCGAUAACUUCUGGAAACCGGAGCUAAUACCGGAUAAUGUUUUGAACCCCAUGGUUCAAUAGUGUAAGACGGUCUUGCUGUCACUUCUAUAUCUAUCCGCGCUGCAUUAGCUAGUGGGUAAGGUAACGGCUUACCAAGGCAACGAGGCAUAGCCGACCUGAGAGGGUGAUAGGCCACAGUGGAACUGAGAGACGGGCCAGACUGCUACGGGAGGAAGCAGUAGGGAAUCUUCCGCAAUGGGCGAAAGCAUGACGGAGCAACGCCGCGUGAGUGAUGAAGGUCUUCGGAUCGUAAAACUCUGUUAUUAGGGAAGAACAUAUGUGUAAGUAACUGAGCAAAUCUUGACGGUACCUAAUCAGAAAGCAACGGCUAACUACGUG